AGCGCAGAGCAAUAUCCUAUGGGUACCCUGUCCCCAGACCAAACAGAUGCCAAGUGCGAGCCCCAACUGGCUCUGCGCGGCUUCUGAGGCGGUUCCUGGUCUCUCACACAGCGCAUCCUGGAGGACCAGGAGAGCGCGCUGCCCGCCGCCAUGGUGCAGCCGCGCACGGGCGCCCUCUGCUGGUUCCUGGACGAGGCAGCUGCACGGCUGCUGUCUGUGCCCUUCGAGAAGCAUUCCACGUUAUAGGGGCCGCACCACGCACGCUGUGGGCACUUCGGGCCGCAGAGACUACGGGAGAGGACUACCUGCAGAUUAAACAGCUUUGCUGGAA
This 331-nucleotide long non-coding RNA is filed under the name Rattus norvegicus (Norway rat). RNAcentral describes it as "long non-coding RNA NONRATT011388". Lineage: Eukaryota; Metazoa; Chordata; Mammalia; Rodentia; Muridae. The record is from RNAcentral.